This 431-nucleotide ribosomal RNA is filed under the name uncultured soil bacterium. Its description in RNAcentral is "bacterial SSU rRNA". It matches the Rfam family "Bacterial small subunit ribosomal RNA", at positions 94 to 564 of the family's 1533-position model. The record is from RNAcentral.
AGUGGCGCACGGGUGAGUAACACGUGGGUAACCUGCCCUUGAGUUCGGGAUACCCCCUCGAAAGGGGGGCUAAUACCGGAUACGUUCCUCGGCAGGAAAGGUGCGCUCUUGGAGGGGCUCGCGGCCUAUCAGCUAGUUGGCGGGGUAACGGCCCACCAAGGCUAUGACGGGUAGCUGGUCUGAGAGGACGACCAGCCACACGGGGACUGAGACACGGCCCCGACUCCUACGGGAGGCAGCAGUGGGGAAUUUCCGCAAUGGGCGAAAGCCUGACGGAGUGACGCCGCGUGUGGGACGAAGGCCUUCGGGUCGUAAACCACUGUCAGUGGGAAAGAAUGACGGUACCUGCAGAGGAAGCCCCGGCCAACUCUGUGCCAGCAGCCGCGGUAAGACAGAGGGGGCAAGCGUUGCUCGGAAUUACUGGGCGUAAA